Molecule: transfer RNA, 72 nt
Filed under: bovine gut metagenome
Rfam family: tRNA
About the family: Transfer RNA (tRNA) molecules are approximately 80 nucleotides in length. Their secondary structure includes four short double-helical elements and three loops (D, anti-codon, and T loops).
Source: RNAcentral
GAGGCAUAGCUCAGCUGGUUAGAGCGCCUGCUUCACACGCAGGAGGUCAUAGGUUCAAGUCCUACUGUCUCC